CAGCUAGUUGGUGUGGUAACGGCGCACCAAGGCGACGAUCAGUAGCUGGUCUGAGAGGAUGAUCAGCCACAUUGGGACUGAGACACGGCCCAAACUCCUACGGGAGGCAGCAGUGGGGAAUAUUGGACAAUGGGCGCAAGCCUGAUCCGGCCAUGCCGCGUGAGUGAUGAAGGCCCUAGGGUUGUAAAGCUCUUUUGUGCGGGAAGAUAAUGACGGUACCGCAAGAAUAAGCCCCGGCUAACUUCGUGCCAGCAGCCGCGGUAAUACGAAGGGGGCUAGCGUUGCUCGGAAUCACUGGGCGUAAAGGGUGCGUAGGCGGGUCUUUAAGUCAGGGGUGAAAUCCUGGAGCUCAACUCCAGAACUGCCUUUGAUACUGAGGAUCUUGAGUUCGGGAGAGGUGAGUGGAACUGCGAGUGUAGAGGUGAAAUUCGUAG
RNAcentral lists this ribosomal RNA (434 nucleotides) under uncultured Alphaproteobacteria bacterium. RNAcentral's name for it is "SSU rRNA". It matches the Rfam family "Bacterial small subunit ribosomal RNA", at positions 242 to 693 of the family's 1533-position model. The record is from RNAcentral. Lineage: Bacteria; Pseudomonadati; Pseudomonadota; Alphaproteobacteria.